UGCAAGAAAGUGCAAAACGGAAUUCAAGCUGUGCCCAACAGGCUCUGGUAGGAAGCAUCUCUAGGCCUCCAAGGGCGCCGGAGCAGCACAGAGCCACAGGAAGGGGCUGGACCUCUGAAAAGCAGUACCCUUCCCGGUUGUCUGGAAGAGACAUUAGAGGCAAAGAGGAAUUGAGGGACUGUUCUGUGUGCAAAUGCCUUAGGAAAUUGGUCAGAUAUAAAAACCAAAAGGAUGUAACACUUUACCCUGGGUGAAGAGGAGCGAGAAGCGAAAGCUGGAAGCAGCAGGGAGAGAGAAAGGAGGCGUCUGACGGAAACAAGACAAGAAAUCUGUGAGUUGGCAGAAAGGCACUGGUGCAGACAAGCUUAUAACUCUUUGUGCCCAGACAUAUGGAAGGACAGUCGCAACAGCCAUGCUAUAGAAAAAGGGGCAAAAAACAUACGGAUGUGGGCCUGGUCACAAAGGCCUUUAAAGGACAGCAAGAAGGAAACCCCCAAGCUAGCAAUUCCAUGUGCAAGGAAGAAUUUCACUGUAGGGAGGUCCUGAACCCAAGUUACCCUUGAUUGCCAGAAGAAGGCAUCUGAUCCCCUGGAUUUAGAGUUGCAGGCCCUUUGAACUGCCUGAGGUCCCAUUGCCACAAGGAUUGCCCACGGAGCAUUCAUCGGUAUCUGUAACGGAUAUGAAGUGGAGAGGAAAUGAGAGGAGCCUGUCCUUAUGGAGGAGUGCAUCUUUCCCUGGGAGUAGAUGUUCUAAUGGCUAAAAUAAGGCUCCUACGUGCAGCCAGGGGGUUCUGCUGGUUCGAAGACAAAGACUCUUUCCAAUUGGUCCCGCAUUACAUCACUGCAUAAGAAGGCUUACAUAUGACGGAGUCUUGCCAGAUAUAAAAUAGAAGACUACCUAAGAUUAAAUAAAAUAUACUGGAUAAAACCCAA
Molecule: long non-coding RNA, 932 nt
Organism: Grammomys surdaster
Lineage: Eukaryota; Metazoa; Chordata; Mammalia; Rodentia; Muridae
Exons: 5
Source: RefSeq, a predicted model, not a curated record